Molecule: ribosomal RNA, 253 nt
Filed under: uncultured Geobacter sp.
Lineage: Bacteria; Pseudomonadati; Thermodesulfobacteriota; Desulfuromonadia; Geobacterales; Geobacteraceae
Description: partial 16S ribosomal RNA
Rfam family: Bacterial small subunit ribosomal RNA
Source: RNAcentral
GGGUCGACUCUGUAGGAGACUGCCGGUGUCAAACCGGAGGAAGGUGGGGAUGACGUCAAGUCCUCAUGGCCCUUAUGACCAGGGCUACACACGUGCUACAAUGGCCGGUACAAAGAGUUGCGAUACCGCGAGGUGGAGCUAAUCUCAUAAAGCCGGUCUCAGUUCGGAUUGGAGUCUGCAACUCGACUCCAUGAAGUUGGAAUCGCUAGUAAUCGCGGAUCAGCACGCCGCGGUGAAUACGUUCCCGGGCCUU